GACGAACGCUGGCGGCGUGCUUAACACAUGCAAGUCGAACGGAGAGGCCCUGCUUUUGUGGGGUGCUCGAGUGGCGAACGGGUGAGUAACACGUGAGUAACCUGCCCUUGACUUUGGGAUAACUUCAGGAAACUGGGGCUGAUACCGGAUAGGAGCUCCUGCUGCAUGGUGGGGGUUGGAAAGUUUCGGCGGUUGGGGAUGGACUCGCGGCUUAUCAGCUUGUUGGUGGGGUAGUGGCUUACCAAGGCUUUGACGGGUAGCCGGCCUGAGAGGGUGACCGGCCACAUUGGGACUGAGAUACGGCCCAGACUCCUACGGGAGGCAGCAGUGGGGAAUAUUGCACAAUGGGCGGAAGCCUGAUGCAGCAACGCCGCGUGCGGGAUGACGGCCUUCGGGUUGUAAACCGCUUUCGCCUGUGACGAAGCGUGAGUGACGGUAAUGGGUAAAGAAGCACCGGCUAACUACGUG
RNAcentral lists this ribosomal RNA (468 nucleotides) under uncultured bacterium. RNAcentral's name for it is "partial 16S ribosomal RNA". It matches the Rfam family "Bacterial small subunit ribosomal RNA", at positions 28 to 507 of the family's 1533-position model. The record is from RNAcentral.